GAUGAACGCUGGCGGCGUGCCUAAUACAUGCAAGUCGAGCGAACAGACGAGGAGCUUGCUCCUCUGACGUUAGCGGCGGACGGGUGAGUAACACGUGGAUAACCUACCUAUAAGACUGGGAUAACUUCGGGAAACCGGAGCUAAUACCGGAUAACAUGUUGAACCGCAUGGUUCAACAGUGAAAGACGGUUUUGCUGUCACUUAUAGAUGGAUCCGCGUCGCAUUAGCUAGUUGGUAAGGUAACGGCUUACCAAGGCAACGAUGCGUAGCCGACCUGAGAGGGGUAGCCGCCACGAGAGAGUGAACAGCCGGCCCAGGCCCGAGCGGGGGGCAGGAGUGGGAAUUCUGCCAGAAGGGGGGAAGACUGGACGGGGGACGGCCGCGUGAGGAAAGAAGGUCUCGGGAGGGAAAACCGCUUUUGUGGGGGAAAAAGAAUUGGGUAGUGACGAAGGGUGAUUUAGGGGAAAGCGUAAAGAAAACCCCGGUAAAAACGCG
RNAcentral lists this ribosomal RNA (495 nucleotides) under uncultured bacterium. RNAcentral describes it as "partial 16S ribosomal RNA". It matches the Rfam family "Bacterial small subunit ribosomal RNA", at positions 28 to 493 of the family's 1533-position model. The record is from RNAcentral.